Molecule: ribosomal RNA, 128 nt
Filed under: uncultured eukaryote
Lineage: Eukaryota
Description: partial small subunit ribosomal RNA
Rfam family: Eukaryotic small subunit ribosomal RNA
Source: RNAcentral
CCCUGCCUUUUGUACACACCGCCCGUCGCUCCUACCGAUUGAAUGUGUUGGUGAGGAGCUCGGCUUGGCAGCAGUUGGUGGUUCGCCACCGGCUAUUGCUGAGAAGUCCUCCAAACCGCCCCAGUGAG